UUCUGUAAGCCUGUGAAGGUGAGUUGAGAAGCUUGCUGGAGGUAUCAGAAGUGCGAAUGCUGACAUGAGUAACGACAAUGGGUGUGAAAAACACCCACGCCGAAAGACCAAGGGUUCCUGCGCAACGUUAAUCGACGCAGGGUUAGUCGGUUCCUAAGGCGAGGCUGAAAAGCGUAGUCGAUGGGAAACAGGUUAAUAUUCCUGUACUUCUGGUUACUGCGAUGGAGGGACGGAGAAGGCUAGGCCAGCUUGGCGUUGGUUGUCCAAGUUUAAGGUGGUAGGCUGAAAUCUUAGGUAAAUCCGGGGUUUCAAGGCCGAGAGCUGAUGACGAGUCGUCUUUUAGAUGACGAAGUGGUUGAUGCCAUGCUUCCAAGAAAAGCUUCUAAGCUUCAGGUAACCAGGAACCGUACCCCAAACCGACACAGGUGGUCGGGUAGAGAAUACCAAGGCGCUUGAGAGAACUCGGGUGAAGGAACUAGGCAAAAUGGCACCGUAACUUC
This 500-nucleotide ribosomal RNA is filed under the name Pseudomonas aeruginosa. RNAcentral describes it as "partial 23S ribosomal RNA". It matches the Rfam family "Bacterial large subunit ribosomal RNA", at positions 1239 to 1737 of the family's 2925-position model. The record is from RNAcentral. Lineage: Bacteria; Pseudomonadati; Pseudomonadota; Gammaproteobacteria; Pseudomonadales; Pseudomonadaceae.